Mycena filopes is the source of this 72-nucleotide non-coding RNA. The record is from the annotation of a GenBank genome assembly. NCBI's taxonomy places the organism in Eukaryota, Fungi, Basidiomycota, Agaricomycetes, Agaricales, Mycenaceae.
GCGCGCUUGGUGUAACGGUAACACAUGGCUCUGUUAUUAGCUCAGUCCAGGGUUCGACUCCCUGAGCACGCC